Molecule: transfer RNA, 74 nt
Filed under: uncultured archaeon
Lineage: Archaea
Description: tRNA-His(gtg)
Rfam family: tRNA
About the family: Transfer RNA (tRNA) molecules are approximately 80 nucleotides in length. Their secondary structure includes four short double-helical elements and three loops (D, anti-codon, and T loops).
Source: RNAcentral
GCCACGGUGGUGUAGCCUGGUAGCACGGGAGACUGUGGAUCUCUUAGCCCGAGUUCAAAUCUCGGCUGUGGCCC